This 467-nucleotide ribosomal RNA is filed under the name uncultured bacterium. Its description in RNAcentral is "partial 16S ribosomal RNA". It matches the Rfam family "Bacterial small subunit ribosomal RNA", at positions 28 to 507 of the family's 1533-position model. The record is from RNAcentral.
GACGAACGCUGGCGGCGUGCUUAACACAUGCAAGUCGAACGGAAAGGCCUCUUUCGGGGGGUACUCGAGUGGCGAACGGGUGAGUAACACGUGAGUAACCUGCCCUUGACUUUGGGAUAACUUCAGGAAACUGGGGCUAAUACCGGAUAGGAGCUCCUGCUGCAUGGUGGGGGUUGGAAAGUUUCGGCGGUUGGGGAUGGACUCGCGGCUUAUCAGCUUGUUGGUGGGGUAGUGGUUUACCAAGGCUUUGACGGGUAGCCGGCCUGAGAGGGUGACCGGCCACAUUGAGACUGAGAUACGGCCCAGACUCCGACGGGAGGAAGCAGUGGGGAAGAUUGCACAAUGGGUGGAAGCCUGAUGCAGCAGCGCCGUGUGCGGGAUGACGGCCUUCGGGUUGUAAACCGCAUUCGCUCAUGACGAAGCUUUGUGUGACGGUAGUGGGUAAAGAAGCACCGGCUAACUACGUG